UGUGUGUGUGUGUGUGUGUGUACAUAUACAUAUACAUAUACAUAUACAUAUACAUAUACAUAUACGCACGCG
Non-coding RNA from Podarcis lilfordi (Lilford's wall lizard), 72 nucleotides. The record is from the annotation of a GenBank genome assembly. NCBI's taxonomy places the organism in Eukaryota, Metazoa, Chordata, Lepidosauria, Squamata, Lacertidae.